Molecule: ribosomal RNA, 375 nt
Filed under: uncultured bacterium
Lineage: Bacteria
Description: bacterial SSU rRNA
Rfam family: Bacterial small subunit ribosomal RNA
Source: RNAcentral
UAAGACGAACCGAGCGAACGUUAUUCGGAAUCACUGGGCUUAAAGGGCGCGUAGGCGGGCCGGCAAGUCAGGGGUGAAAGCCCCCAGCUCAACUGGGGAAGUGCCUCUGAUACUGCCGGCCUCGAGCGAGGUAGGGGCGUGCGGAACUUCCGGUGGAGCGGUGAAAUGCGUAGAUAUCGGAAGGAACACCGGUGGCGAAAGCGGCGCGCUGGACCUCAUCUGACGCUGAGGCGCGAAAGCCAGGGGAGCAAACGGGAUUAGAUACCCCGGUAGUCCUGGCCCUAAACGAUGGGCACUAGGCAGCGGACUUACAUGGGUUCGCAGCCGGAGCAAAAGUGUUAAGUGCCCCGCCUGGGGAGUAUGGUCGCAAGGCUG